This 492-nucleotide ribosomal RNA is filed under the name uncultured bacterium. RNAcentral's name for it is "bacterial SSU rRNA". It matches the Rfam family "Bacterial small subunit ribosomal RNA", at positions 24 to 507 of the family's 1533-position model. The record is from RNAcentral.
UCAGGAUGAACGCUAGCGGCAGGCUUAAUACAUGCAAGUCGUGGGGCAGCAGGUUUGUAGCAAUACAGAUGCUGGCGACCGGCAAACGGGUGCGGAACACGUACAGGACCUUCCUUUGAGCGGGGAAUAGCCCAGAGAAAUUUGGAUUAAUACCCCAUAGUAUAAUGAAGUGGCAUCACUUUAUUAUUAAAGAUUUAUCACUCGAAGAUGGCUGUGCGGCUGAUUAGGUAGUUGGCGGGAUAAAGGCCCACCAAGCCUGCGAUCAGUAACUGGUGUGAGAGCACGACCAGUCACACGGGCACUGAGACACGGGCCCGACUCCUACGGGAGGCAGCAGUAAGGAAUAUUGGUCAAUGGAGGCAACUCUGAACCAGCCAUGCCGCGUGGAGGAUGAAGGUCCUCUGGAUUGUAAACUUCUUUUAUAUGGGACGAAAAAAGGCUUUUCUAAGUCGUCUGACGGUACCAUAUGAAUAAGCACCGGCUAACUCCGUG